Xyrauchen texanus (razorback sucker) is the source of this 459-nucleotide long non-coding RNA. RefSeq lists it as uncharacterized. NCBI's taxonomy places the organism in Eukaryota, Metazoa, Chordata, Actinopteri, Cypriniformes, Catostomidae. The record is from RefSeq and is a predicted model, not a curated record. The transcript is spliced from 3 exons.
UCUCUCUGUCUCAGCUCCUUUCUUUGCGUCCUUUGUUUUAUCUCAGGUGAAUUGUAAUCAUGUGAUCAAACGAGCACCCCCCUUCAUUACCCUCUUAAAUGAAAAAAUGAGGAACAAAAAGCACUUCUGUGUAUAAAAGCAAAGAAAAGAGAAAAGACGUGUGUCUGUCUGUCGAGCGUCUCACUUGUGUAUGGAUACUGUCUCACGGAUCGGGGCCUGCCGACACUGGGAUUAAUUCCAACAAGACGAGAACACGUCACAACUUUACAGGACAGAGUGAGAGAUAAGAGUCCAUCCUGAGAUCUACAGCAGCUGUUCUCCUUUGGACAAGCCACAUGACGUGACCCCCUCAUGUGAUCUCAUGAGAGGCAAAUGACCAUUUAAGAGACAUGACAUCGGGUCUUGACCUUUAGGGUCACAGGGUCACUUCCUCCUUCCGAUGGGAAGACUGCUGGAGUA